RNAcentral lists this ribosomal RNA (450 nucleotides) under uncultured bacterium. RNAcentral's name for it is "bacterial SSU rRNA". It matches the Rfam family "Bacterial small subunit ribosomal RNA", at positions 29 to 526 of the family's 1533-position model. The record is from RNAcentral.
AACGAACGCUGGCGGCAGGCCUAACACAUGCAAGUCGAACGCUCCGCAAGGAGAGUGGCAGACGGGUGAGUAACACGUGGGAAUCUUCCUAUCGGUACGGAAUAGCUCAGGGAAACUUGAGGUAAUACCGCAUACGCCCUUCGGGGGAAAGAUUUAUCGCCGAUAGAGGAGCUCGCGUCUGAUUAGCUAGUUGGUGGGGUAAUGGCCCACCAAGGCGACGAUCAGUAGCUGGUCUGAGAGGAUGACCAGCCACACUGGGACUGAGACACGGCCCAGACUCCUACGGGAGGCAGCAGUGGGGAAUAUUGGACAGUGGGCGCAAGCCUGAUCCAGCCAUGCCGCGUGAGUGACGAAGGUCUUCGGAUUGUAAAGCUCUUUUGCCAGGGACGAUAAUGACGGUACCUGGAGAAUAAGCCCCGGCUAACUUCGUGCCAACAGCCGCCGUAACAC